CAGGACGAUUGAAACACGUCAUGGAGAAAACAGAACUGAAUGGAUUGUCCUGCUGCCUUUUUGACCAAGUUAAUUCAAUUUGGGGGUCAAUCCAGUUUGAGUGAAUGGACCAGUAGACUGGGAAUGAAGGUUGCUCCUCUGUCAUGUCUUCAUAGAUCCAGCUAGCCUUCAUUCAUCACCUUGUCAUCGCAAUUCCAACGGGAUCACUUAUAAUUGGCCAUUGUCUCUCAUUGCCGUUAUUUCAGGUGUCUUUCCAGUCAUAUUAAAAUAUUAUAUCUUAUGCUUCUUUGUCUUCCACAGAUGUGAUGCUGAACGUACAGGAGGUAGACACUAACAUCUCGUUGAUUAUUACUCAGCAGAGCUUGAUGAUGGAGAGUGCUGAUUCUAGAACCAGACUGCCUGAUUGGGAAUUCUGGUUCUGCCAGGUGCUAGCCAUGUGACUUGAACAGUUACUCACAGUCUUCCUUCGUAUUCCUAUCUGAAAAAUGGGAAUAACAGUCGCACUUACCACACAGAGUCGUGAAGACUACAUCAAUAAUCGUAUAGCGCUUAGAACAGCGCCUCCAUAUGGCUUAAAAAUUAAGAGCAUUUUUACAAAACUGGAGCUGGAGCAAUCUGACAAAUAAAACAGCAAGUGAACGAAAGUGAAUGCUCCAAGGACGAUCUUCAUCUAUUGAAAGAGGAAUGUCAAUCCAUUAUCCAUUUCCACUAGGAAUUGUAUUCAAGCUUUAUGAAUGUUUGAAAACAGUAACUCAGUUGUUUUCUAGUUUCAAGUUAAUGUUAAUAUUUAGUAAGACUUCAAGAAGACUAUAUGUCAAAGAUAUCUCAAAAAAGUUAUUAAAAAGAACAAAAGUUGUUCAAGAACAAAAACAUAACCCAUUAGAAGCCUAUGAGUAUAUUAUGUACUAUAUGCGAACAUAUUAGAAACUUUAACGAGAAGAACUAACGUGUUCCAUUUGUGAAAGCUUAGAAUUGACUCCAAUAAAAAAGAAUAAAAAGUCA
Molecule: long non-coding RNA, 1002 nt
Filed under: Equus asinus (donkey)
Lineage: Eukaryota; Metazoa; Chordata; Mammalia; Perissodactyla; Equidae
Description: lncRNA (ENSEASG00005028184.1)
Source: RNAcentral